This 347-nucleotide ribosomal RNA is filed under the name uncultured bacterium. Its description in RNAcentral is "partial 16S ribosomal RNA". It matches the Rfam family "Bacterial small subunit ribosomal RNA", at positions 338 to 682 of the family's 1533-position model. The record is from RNAcentral.
CCUACGGGGGGCAGCAGUGAGGAAUAUUGGUCAAUGGGCGCGAGCCUGAACCAGCCAAGUAGCGUGAAGGAUGACGGCCCUACGGGUUGUAAACUUCUUUUAUAAAGGAAUAAAGUGAGGCACGUGUGCCUUUUUGUAUGUACUUUAUGAAUAAGGAUCGGCUAACUCCGUGCCAGCAGCCGCGGUAAUACGGAGGAUCCGAGCGUUAUCCGGAUUGAGUGGGUUUAAAGGGAGCGUAGAUGGGUUGUUAAGUCAGUUGUGACAGUUUGCGGCUCCACCGUAAAAUUGCAAGUGAUCCUGGCAGCCUUGAGUACAGUUGCGGUAGGCGGCCUUCGUGGUGUAGCGGU